This 427-nucleotide long non-coding RNA is filed under the name Amphimedon queenslandica. Its description in RNAcentral is "uncharacterized LOC109592430". Lineage: Eukaryota; Metazoa; Porifera; Demospongiae; Haplosclerida; Niphatidae. The record is from RNAcentral.
UAGAUACUAUAUAUACCAAGUGGAUGCGAAACAGGAAGUGGAUUGUACAUGAAAUUAUAUUGGUGACGUCACGAGCAGUAUGCCUAUGCUCUUUUCGCUCUAGCGUAGCCUCUAGUGGCCUUGUUUCUCGAAGUUUUGGGUUCUUGGUCAAGUUACUACUUUCCUGAGUUGAAGUAAGUAUUAUGAAGUCUCUAUUAGCUCGAAUGACCUGCUGAAUCCUUGUUUGCUUGAUCACUGGAUCUCGUUGUACUGUAAAACAUGGCGGCCUAUAGUUCUGACUUUAAACACCUUUUCUCCAAUCUGGGGCAGAGUUAGGUAUGAAUAUGAAACCAAUGAAGAUAAAUUGUCUGUUGUUUCUUGUAUUGACUCUUUUCAGAAGAAAUAUAGAUUUUUAUGAAGUUUUUUAUAAUUAUUGAUUUUGCCACCA